AAAAAUAAGUGUUUGUUGUUGUUGUUUUUUUUUUUGGUUGGUUGGUUGGUUUUGUACAGACUGAUGAGUUUUCUCCAUGUUUCUCUUGGUGCAAGUGCUGCUCUUGCUAAGCCAGGCAGUACCUGUCAUUUUUAAGGAAUCAAAGAGUGUUUCAGAGGAAACUUGUUCAUACAGUGCAAAACCACGUACAUUUGCAUUACAGCAGCUUGAAUUCUGCUGUUCUUUUUUUAGUGGAAAAUAUAUCAAAACAGCUUUGCAGUUCAGCUUUCAUAAAUGUCUAAAAUAAGGGUUUGCUUGUAUUUAAUGGCCAGAAUGGAUUGAGCUGGGUUUCAGAUCUAGAAUUAGUAUGCUUGAGAGCAAAUUAAUCAAAUUUCAAAGGUGGGGUCUGAUGUAUUUCUGUGCCACUCCAAAGGUAUGUGUGACUUUCUGUUCUCCCAGGCAGCUAUAAAACAUAGACUUAUAUAUAGAUUCUACAAAACAUGGACUUCAUCAUCUAGAGCAAAAAGAUUCUGGAAAAGACAUUGCCCAAUGAAGAGCUAGGAGGCUACCACAGCUUCUUGUUACCACAAAACACUGAGAUGUUCUAACUCUAGAUAAUUAGCACACUCACGGAAAGGAGGACUACCCAAAGAGCCAGUGAUGCCAUCUCCUACCCAGAAGAUAUACCUUGACGUUUCUUCUUUCUAAAGAACGGAUACAUCUUUGCCAUGUGCCGUCUAUGGAUGAAAGUGUGCUCCACUGAAGCAGUCCUUUCUGAGCUACUGACUGGA
This is a long non-coding RNA of Oxyura jamaicensis (ruddy duck), 770 nucleotides long. RefSeq lists it as uncharacterized. The record is from RefSeq and is a predicted model, not a curated record. The transcript has 3 exons. NCBI's taxonomy places the organism in Eukaryota, Metazoa, Chordata, Aves, Anseriformes, Anatidae.